AGAGUUUGAUCCUGGCUCAGGACGAACGCUGGCGGCACGCUUAACACAUGCAAGUCGAACGAGAGAAGAGGAGCUUGCUUUUCUGAUCUAGUGGCGGACGGGUGAGUAACACGUGAGCAAUCUGCCUUUCAGAGGGGGAUACCGAUUGGAAACGAUCGUUAAUACCGCAUAACAUAAUUGAACCGCAUGAUUUGAUUAUCAAAGAUUUAUCGCUGAAAGAUGAGCUCGCGUCUGAUUAGCUAGUUGGUAAGGUAACGGCUUACCAAGGCGACGAUCAGUAGCCGGACUGAGAGGUUGAUCGGCCACAUUGGGACUGAGACACGGCCCUGACUCCUACGGGAGGCAGCAGUGGGGAAUAUUGCACAAUGGAGGAAACUCUGAUGCAGCGAUGCCGCGUGAGGGAAGAAGGUUUUAGGAUUGUAAACCUCUGUCUUCAGGGACGAAAAAAGACGGUACCUGAGGAGGAAGCUCCGGCUAACUACGUGCCAGCAGCCGCGGUAAUACGUAGGGAGCGAGCGUUGUCCGGAAUUACUGGGUGUAAAGGGAGCGUAGGCGGGAUCGCAAGUCAGAUGUGAAAACUAUGGGCUUAACCCAUAAACUGCAUUUGAAACUGUGGUUCUUGAGUGAAGUAGAGGUAAGCGGAAUUCCUAGUGUAGCGGUGAAAUGCGUAGAUAUUAGGAGGGACAUCAGUGGCGAAGGCGGCUUACUGGGCUUUAACUGACGCUGAGGCUCGAAAGCGUGGGGAGCAAACAGGAUUAGAUACCCUGGUAGUCCACGCCGUAAACGAUGAUUACUAGGUGUGGGGGGACUGACCCCUUCCGUGCCGCAGCAAACGCAAUAAGUAAUCCACCUGGGGAGUACGACCGCAAGGUUGAAACUCAAAGGAAUUGACGGGGGCCCGCACAAGCAGUGGAGUAUGUGGAUUAAUUCGAAGCAACGCGAAGAACCUUACCAGGUCUUGACAUCGUAUGCAUAGCUCAGAGAUGAGUGAAAUCUCUUCGGAGACAUAUAGACAGGUGGUGCAUGGUUGUCGUCAGCUCGUGUCGUGAGAUGUUGGGUUAAGUCCCGCAGCGAGCGCAACCCUUACUGUUAGUUGCUACGCAAGAGCACUCUAGCAGGACUGCCGUUGACAAAACGGAGGAAGGUGGGGAUGACGUCAAAUCAUCAUGCCCCUUAUGACCUGGGCCUCACACGUACUACAAUGGCUGUCAACAGAGGGAAGCAAAGCCGCGAGGUGGAGCGAACCCCUAAAAGCAGUCUUAGUUCGGAUUGUAGGCUGCAACCCGCCUACAUGAAGUCGGAAUUGCUAGUAAUCGCAGAUCAGCAUGCUGCGGUGAAUACGUUCCCGGGCCUUGUACACACCGCCCGUCACGCCAUGGGAGUCGGUAACACCCGAAGCCUGUAGUCUAACCGCAAGGAGGACGCAGUCGAAGGUGGGAUUGAUGACUGGGGUGAAGUCGUAACAAGGUA
Molecule: ribosomal RNA, 1470 nt
Filed under: metagenome
Description: bacterial SSU rRNA
Rfam family: Bacterial small subunit ribosomal RNA
Source: RNAcentral